Molecule: small nuclear RNA, 152 nt
Filed under: Calidris pygmaea (Spoon-billed sandpiper)
Lineage: Eukaryota; Metazoa; Chordata; Aves; Charadriiformes; Scolopacidae
Description: U2 spliceosomal RNA (ENSCPGG00000013408.1)
Rfam family: U2 spliceosomal RNA
About the family: U2 is a small nuclear RNA (snRNA) component of the spliceosome (involved in pre-mRNA splicing). Complementary binding between U2 snRNA (in an area lying towards the 5' end but 3' to hairpin I) and the branchpoint sequence (BPS) of the intron results the bulging out of an unpaired adenosine, on the BPS, which initiates a nucleophilic attack at the intronic 5' splice site, thus starting the first of two transesterification reactions that mediate splicing.
Source: RNAcentral
GUAGUAUCUGUUCUUAUCAGUUUAAUAUCUGAUACGUCCUCGAUGAGAGGACUUUAUAUUAAACGGAUUUUUGGGUUCGGGAGUUGGACCCGGAGCUUGCUCCCUCCGCUCCGCGCAUCGUCCCGGUAUUGCAGUGCCUCCGGGAACGGUGC